Triticum dicoccoides is the source of this 975-nucleotide long non-coding RNA. RefSeq lists it as uncharacterized. The transcript has 4 exons. NCBI's taxonomy places the organism in Eukaryota, Viridiplantae, Streptophyta, Magnoliopsida, Poales, Poaceae. The record is from RefSeq and is a predicted model, not a curated record.
UGCUGAGUCCCGGGCUUCCCCGAACUUGGCUCUCCAGGCUGCAAUCGACGGAGGCCGGCCUUGCUUAUCUCCCCUCAUGGCCGAUCAAGGAGGCGAACAGUGUCAAUCUGUCAUCGACACCUCAGGGUCUAAAAAACAAGCAUCGGGUCCUUCUCCUCCAUGAAUCAGAUGUCAACAAGGCAACACGAAUCUGCAUGAGGCUGAACAUAAAAGAAAGAAAAUGGAGACAACUCGACGAGUUUAGGAACAACAUGUCAUCGACGAUGAGCACUUUUCCAGUCAGGGAAAGGAUUUUUUAUGCCACGCUAGGACUUUUCGUGCUAUGGAUUGAAAUAGUCCAGUGUCCAGUAUUAUGGGAUUCACUCAAUUCAAUGCUGCUUCAUACUUCAGAGUUCAGACAUUUAUAUGUGCACAACAUGUGCCUUCUAAUUACGAGGCGUCUAUUGUUUCUGAAUUUUGGGGUGGCAGCAACAAGGGCGAGGAGCAUGAUCGUGACACAGAGAUGGGCAAGUGCAGGGAAUGCAGGCAGCGAAAAGUUGUUGCGUUGCGGUUACCAACUACAGGGCCAAAUAUGUCGGCAGCCAUCCGCGCAUUAACUAAUUUAUGGCAGUGCUUUUGCUGGAGAUGGAAAUUCAUAGAGAUGACGCCCUAUUGAUAGAGGCGAGUGGACUGGAGGUGUGCGUUGCACUGAGGGCAAAUCAAAGGCUGAAAGUUUGUCAAAUUUCCUGUGCUUGGGUAUGGCUGGUUUGUAAGCAAAUGAGGAUACUCUGCCUUUUUACAGUGGUAUAUUGUUUAGUGAGGGGAAGGUACUCUCUUUUUCUAGACGGAAGAUCAUCUGCUUUGUGGCAAGGGGAUAUAUCGUGUUACUUCUCCCCCAUUUUGGUAUGUCUAAAUUCAGUAACAAGAUUAUACUCCUUGUUAAUUUUCCACGGCGUAACUUCGUAACUACGCGUUUCUCGUGUCGAGGCCAAUAUG